UGCAAGUCGAACGGACUUAACCAUUAGUUUACUAUUGGAGCGGUUAGUGGCGGACUGGUGAGUAACACGUAAGUAACCUGCCUAUCAGAGGGGAACAACAGUUAGAAAUGACUGCUAAUACCGCAUAUGCCUUGAGUAUCACAUGAUACAUAAGGGAAAGGAGCAAUCCGCUGAUAGAUGGGCUUGCGUCUGAUUAGAUAGUUGGUGGGGUAACGGCCUACCAAGUCGACGAUCAGUAGCCGGACUGAGAGGUUGGACGGCCACAUUGGGACUGAGAUACGGCCCAGACUCCUACGGGAGGCAGCAGUCGGGAAUAUUGCGCAAUGGAGGAAACUCUGACGCAGUGACGCCGCGUGCAGGAAGAAGGUUUCCGGAUUGUAAACUGCUUUAGACAGGGGAGAAUAAAGACAGUACCUGUAGAAUAAGCUCCGGCUAACUACGUGCCAGCAGCCGCGGUAAUACGUAGGGAGCAAGCGUUAUCCGGAUUUAUUGGGUGUAAAGGGUGCGUAGACGGGAAAACAAGUUAGUUGUGAAAUCCCUCGGCUUAACUGAGGAACUGCAACUAAAACUAUUUUUCUUGAGUGUUGGAGAGGAAAGUGGAAUUCCUAGUGUAGCGGUGAAAUGCGUAGAUAUUAGGAGGAACACCGGUGGCGAAGGCGACUUUCUGGACAAUAACUGACGUUGAGGCACGAAAGUGUGGGGAGCAAACAGGAUUAGAUACCCUGGUAGUCCACACCGUAAACGAUGGAUACUAGGUGUAGGGUGUGAUAAACAUUCUGUGCCGUCGCAAACGCAGUAAGUAUCCCACCUGGGGAGUACGGCCG
RNAcentral lists this ribosomal RNA (824 nucleotides) under uncultured Bacillota bacterium. RNAcentral describes it as "bacterial SSU rRNA". It matches the Rfam family "Bacterial small subunit ribosomal RNA", at positions 56 to 888 of the family's 1533-position model. Lineage: Bacteria; Bacillati; Bacillota. The record is from RNAcentral.